Molecule: ribosomal RNA, 406 nt
Filed under: uncultured bacterium
Lineage: Bacteria
Description: partial 16S ribosomal RNA
Rfam family: Bacterial small subunit ribosomal RNA
Source: RNAcentral
AUUGAACGCUGGCGGCAGGCCUAACACAUGCAAGUCGAACGAGUGGCGGACGGGUGAGUAAUGUCUGGGAAACUGCCUUAUGGAGGGGGAUAACUACUGGAAACUGUAGCUAAUACCGCAUACCAUCGGAUGUGCCCAGAUGGGAUUAGCUAGUUGGUGGGGUAAAGGCUCACCCAGGCGACGAUCUCUAGCUGGUCUGAGAGGAUGACCAGCCACACUGGGACUGAGACACGGGCCAGACUCCUACGGGAGGCAGCAGUGGGGAAUAUUGCACAAUGGGCGCAAGCCUGAUGCAGCCAUGCCGCGUGAAUGAAGAAGGCCUUAGGGUUGUAAAGUACUUUCAGCGGGGAGGCGUUACCCGCAGAAGAAGCACCGGCUAACUCCGUGCCAGCAGCCGCGGUAAUAC